Molecule: ribosomal RNA, 254 nt
Filed under: uncultured Bauldia sp.
Lineage: Bacteria; Pseudomonadati; Pseudomonadota; Alphaproteobacteria; Hyphomicrobiales; Kaistiaceae
Description: partial 16S ribosomal RNA
Rfam family: Bacterial small subunit ribosomal RNA
Source: RNAcentral
UACGAAGGGGGCUAGCGUUGUUCGGAAUCACUGGGCGUAAAGCGUAUGCAGGCGGGUCGCUAAGUCGGGGGUGAAAUGCCGAGGCUCAACCUCGGAACUGCCUUCGAUACUGGCGAUCUUGGAGUCCGGGAGAGGUGAGUGGAACUGCGAGUGUAGAGGUGAAAUUCGUAGAUAUUCGCAAGAACACCAGUGGCGAAGGCGGCUCACUGGCCCGGUACUGACGCUGAGAUACGAAAGCGUGGGGAGCAAACAGG